CGUUCAAAAACCGGUUCUCGAACGAUAGCCGAAGUUAAGCAACGCCGAGCCUGGUCAGUACCUUGGUGGGUGACCGCUUAGGAAUACCAGGUGCUGUAAG
This is a non-coding RNA of Acanthosepion pharaonis, 100 nucleotides long. Lineage: Eukaryota; Metazoa; Mollusca; Cephalopoda; Sepiida; Sepiidae. The record is from the annotation of a GenBank genome assembly.